UAGGGAAUCUUCCGCAAUGGGCGAAAGCCUGACGGAGCAACGCCGCGUGAGUGAUGAAGGUCUUCGGAUCGUAAAACUCUGUUAUUAGGGAAGAACAAAUGUGUAAGUAACUAUGCACGUCUUGACGGUACCUAAUCAGAAAGCCACGGCUAACUACGUGCCAGCAGCCGCGGUAAUACGUAGGUGGCAAGCGUUAUCCGGAAUUAUUGGGCGUAAAGCGCGCGUAGGCGGUUUUUUAAGUCUCAUGUGAAAGCCCACGGCUCAACCGUGGAGGGUCAUUGGAAACUGGAAAACUUGAGUGCAGAAGAGGAAAGUGGAAUUCCAUGUGUAGCGGUGAAAUGCGCAGAGAUAUGGAGGAACACCAGUCGCGAAGGAGACUAUCUGGUCUGUAACUAACGCUGAUGUGCGAAAGCGUGGAGAUCAAACAGG
Molecule: ribosomal RNA, 429 nt
Filed under: Actinomycetes bacterium
Lineage: Bacteria; Bacillati; Actinomycetota; Actinomycetes
Description: Actinobacteria bacterium partial 16S ribosomal RNA
Rfam family: Bacterial small subunit ribosomal RNA
Source: RNAcentral